Molecule: ribosomal RNA, 119 nt
Filed under: Pteropus alecto (black flying fox)
Lineage: Eukaryota; Metazoa; Chordata; Mammalia; Chiroptera; Pteropodidae
Also listed under: 1 other name
Source: RNAcentral
AGCUAUGGCCAUGCUACCCUGGACAAACCCGAUCCCGUCUGAUCUUGGAAGCUAAGCAGGAUUGGGCCUGGUUAGUACUUGGAUGGGAGGCCACCUAGGAAGACCAAGUACUGUAGGCA